This 1548-nucleotide ribosomal RNA is filed under the name Klebsiella pneumoniae. RNAcentral's name for it is "bacterial SSU rRNA". It matches the Rfam family "Bacterial small subunit ribosomal RNA". Lineage: Bacteria; Pseudomonadati; Pseudomonadota; Gammaproteobacteria; Enterobacterales; Enterobacteriaceae. The record is from RNAcentral.
AAAUUGAAGAGUUUGAUCAUGGCUCAGAUUGAACGCUGGCGGCAGGCCUAACACAUGCAAGUCGAGCGGUAGCACAGAGAGCUUGCUCUCGGGUGACGAGCGGCGGACGGGUGAGUAAUGUCUGGGAAACUGCCUGAUGGAGGGGGAUAACUACUGGAAACGGUAGCUAAUACCGCAUAACGUCGCAAGACCAAAGUGGGGGACCUUCGGGCCUCAUGCCAUCAGAUGUGCCCAGAUGGGAUUAGCUAGUAGGUGGGGUAACGGCUCACCUAGGCGACGAUCCCUAGCUGGUCUGAGAGGAUGACCAGCCACACUGGAACUGAGACACGGUCCAGACUCCUACGGGAGGCAGCAGUGGGGAAUAUUGCACAAUGGGCGCAAGCCUGAUGCAGCCAUGCCGCGUGUGUGAAGAAGGCCUUCGGGUUGUAAAGCACUUUCAGCGGGGAGGAAGGCGUUAAGGUUAAUAACCUCAUCGAUUGACGUUACCCGCAGAAGAAGCACCGGCUAACUCCGUGCCAGCAGCCGCGGUAAUACGGAGGGUGCAAGCGUUAAUCGGAAUUACUGGGCGUAAAGCGCACGCAGGCGGUCUGUCAAGUCGGAUGUGAAAUCCCCGGGCUCAACCUGGGAACUGCAUUCGAAACUGGCAGGCUAGAGUCUUGUAGAGGGGGGUAGAAUUCCAGGUGUAGCGGUGAAAUGCGUAGAGAUCUGGAGGAAUACCGGUGGCGAAGGCGGCCCCUGGACAAAGACUGACGCUCAGGUGCGAAAGCGUGGGGAGCAAACAGGAUUAGAUACCCUGGUAGUCCACGCCGUAAACGAUGUCGAUUUGGAGGUUGUGCCCUUGAGGCGUGGCUUCCGGAGCUAACGCGUUAAAUCGACCGCCUGGGGAGUACGGCCGCAAGGUUAAAACUCAAAUGAAUUGACGGGGCCCGCACAAGCGGUGGAGCAUGUGGUUUAAUUCGAUGCAACGCGAAGAACCUUACCUGGUCUUGACAUCCACAGAACUUAGCAGAGAUGCUUUGGUGCCUUCGGGAACUGUGAGACAGGUGCUGCAUGGCUGUCGUCAGCUCGUGUUGUGAAAUGUUGGGUUAAGUCCCGCAACGAGCGCAACCCUUAUCCUUUGUUGCCAGCGGUCCGGCCGGGAACUCAAAGGAGACUGCCAGUGAUAAACUGGAGGAAGGUGGGGAUGACGUCAAGUCAUCAUGGCCCUUACGACCAGGGCUACACACGUGCUACAAUGGCAUAUACAAAGAGAAGCGACCUCGCGAGAGCAAGCGGACCUCAUAAAGUAUGUCGUAGUCCGGAUUGGAGUCUGCAACUCGACUCCAUGAAGUCGGAAUCGCUAGUAAUCGUAGAUCAGAAUGCUACGGUGAAUACGUUCCCGGGCCUUGUACACACCGCCCGUCACACCAUGGGAGUGGGUUGCAAAAGAAGUAGGUAGCUUAACCUUCGGGAGGGCGCUUACCACUUUGUGAUUCAUGACUGGGGUGAAGUCGUAACAAGGUAACCGUAGGGGAACCUGCGGUUGGAUCACCUCCUUACCUUAAAGAA